This 611-nucleotide ribosomal RNA is filed under the name Mucor racemosus. Its description in RNAcentral is "eukaryotic LSU rRNA". The stretch from base 214 to 366 matches the Rfam family "5.8S ribosomal RNA". Lineage: Eukaryota; Fungi; Mucoromycota; Mucoromycetes; Mucorales; Mucoraceae. The record is from RNAcentral.
UAAAAAAAUAAAUAAUUCUUGGCUUGUCCAUUAUUAUCUAUUUACUGUGAACUGUAUUAUUAUUUGACAUUUGAGGGAUGUUCCAAUGUUAUAAGGAUAGACAUUGGAAAUGUUAACCGAGUCAUAAUCAGGUUUAGGCCUGGUAUCCUAUUAUUAUUUACCAAAUGAAUUCAGAAUUAAUAUUGUAACAUAGACCUAAAAAAUCUAUAAAACAACUUUUAACAACGGAUCUCUUGGUUCUCGCAUCGAUGAAGAACGUAGCAAAGUGCGAUAACUAGUGUGAAUUGCAUAUUCAGUGAAUCAUCGAGUCUUUGAACGCAACUUGCGCUCAUUGGUAUUCCAAUGAGCACGCCUGUUUCAGUAUCAAAACAAACCCUCUAUCCAACUUUUGUUGUAUAGGAUUAUUGGGGGCCUCUCGAUCUGUAUAGAUCUUGAAAUCCCUGAAAUUUACUAAGGCCUGAACUUGUUUAAAUGCCUGAACUUUUUUUUAAUAUAAAGGAAAGCUCUUGUAAUUGACUUUGAUGGGGCCUCCCAAAUAAAUCUUUUUUAAAUUUGAUCUGAAAUCAGGCGGGAUUACCCGCUGAACUUAAGCAUAUCAAUAAGCGGAGGAA